Molecule: ribosomal RNA, 526 nt
Filed under: uncultured bacterium
Lineage: Bacteria
Description: bacterial SSU rRNA
Rfam family: Bacterial small subunit ribosomal RNA
Source: RNAcentral
GACGAACGCUGGCGGCGUGCCUAAUACAUGCAAGUCGAACGCUUCUUCUUUCACCGGAGCUUGCUCCACCGAAAGAAGAAGAGUGGCGAACGGGUGAGUAACACGUAGGUAACCUGGCAAUAAGACGAGGACAACUAUUGGAAACGAUAGCUAAUACUGGAUGUGGUGUGAGGAAGGCAUCUUCUUCAUAUUAAAGGAGCUACGGCUUCACUUAUUGAUGGACCUGCGGCGCAUUAGCUAGUUGGUAAGGUAGAGGCUUACCAAGGCAAUGAUGCGUAGCCGAUCUGAGAGGAUAAACGGCCACACUGGGACUGAGAUACGGCCCAGACUCCUACGGGAGGCAGCAGUAGGGAAUUUUCCACAAUGGACGGAAGUCUGAUGGAGCAACGCCGCGUGUGCGAAGAAGGUUUUCGGAUUGUAAAGCACUGUUGUAUAGGAAGAAUAAGGUAAACAGGGAAUGGUUUACUGAUGACGGUACUAUACGAGGAAGUCACGGCUAACUACGUGCCAGCAGCCGCCGUAACAC